AUUGAACGCUGGCGGCAUGCCUUACACAUGCAAGUCGAACGGUAACAGAUCUUCGGAUGCUGACGAGUGGCGAACGGGUGAGUAAUACAUCGGAACGUGCCCGAUCGUGGGGGAUAACGAAGCGAAAGCUUUGCUAAUACCGCAUACGAUCUACGGAUGAAAGCAGGGGACCGCAAGGCCUUGCGCGAACGGAGCGGCCGAUGGCAGAUUAGGUAGUUGGUGGGAUAAAAGCUUACCAAGCCGACGAUCUGUAGCUGGUCUGAGAGGACGACCAGCCACACUGGGACUGAGAAACGGCCCAGACUCCUACGGGAGGCAGCAGUGGGGAAUUUUGGACAAUGGGCGAAAGCCUGAUCCAGCCAUGCCGCGUGCAGGAUGAAGGCCUUCGGGUUGUAAACUGCUUUUGUACGGAACGGAAAGACUCUGGUUAAUACCUGGGGUCCAUGACGGUACCGUAAGAAUAAGCACCGGCUAACUACGUGCCAGCCGCCGCCGUAA
RNAcentral lists this ribosomal RNA (498 nucleotides) under uncultured bacterium. RNAcentral describes it as "partial 16S ribosomal RNA". It matches the Rfam family "Bacterial small subunit ribosomal RNA", at positions 30 to 523 of the family's 1533-position model. The record is from RNAcentral.